Long non-coding RNA from Bubalus bubalis (water buffalo), 585 nucleotides. RefSeq lists it as uncharacterized. The transcript is spliced from 2 exons. The record is from RefSeq and is a predicted model, not a curated record. NCBI's taxonomy places the organism in Eukaryota, Metazoa, Chordata, Mammalia, Artiodactyla, Bovidae.
CACUACAUAAAACUUUUUUUUCCCCUAUAGGGAUAUAUCAGUAUUCAGACCGAAUCUUCCAAAGGACUUUUCUUACCAAUUAUGAGGAGCUUCUGGUAAUGCAUGGUUACUUAUCACUUGCAUUUCUUGUGGAGUUUUUUCCUUUUAUUUGCUUUUUCAAACAGAGCUGAACUUUAAGAGGUAUUAUCCCUUAUUUUUUCUUAAACAAAACAGGGGACAAAACAAAAUUAAAUGAAAGAUUGUUCAAAUGUUUCUCGUCCUCGGAAACUCAAAGGAGAAAGAUGAUAAAACUCAACAAAAAUAUUUAGUGUCUGAGGGGAGUCAGCCUAAAGAGUUUGGAGGUUUUACAAACCUCAAAGAGAGACAAAGCCUUGAUGUUUGGAAAUCCGUUGCCAUCAUCAUCUGGUCAAGGCAGUGAUGACUCCUGGGGCGGAGGAUCCCAGACCACCCCAGCUGUUGGCUCACAGGGGGACUUGGUGGAUGGACUGAUGGUUAAUUUGUUGUCCUUCCGGGACAGCCUCUGUAGAAAUGGGUCUGCUACGCAACAGCACCUCACAGGAGACUAAUAGAUGAAUCUUACCUGCA